UAUCGGUAGAGACUGGACUUUUAGGAAGCUAAAAAUCUUAUUUGGUGUCAAAAACGCUAACGUCAUUUGGUUCCGACUUAUAAACAAAAGUUGACAUUUUAGCGAAAUCUUAAAAAAAUCAUAUCUUUCUUAUUAUUAUAAUAAUGUUUAUUAACGGCCACGCCAAGUACAGGUGGUAUAUAAAAUACAAAGAUAAAUUGAUAUAUAAAAUACAAACACAGAUAGGUACAAUACAGUUAAUAUAAAAUAAAGUGUUAAUUAUUAAAAGAGCUAAGUUCACUAUGUUCAAUAACAGUUUUUAAAUCUUUUAGAAAUCUAUUUUUAGACAGCCUAGAAGAUACAGAAUUUUUCCCAUAAUUGGUACGGUGGUAAGGCACUACAAGCAUUCUAGGCUCUCUGACGUUACAAACGGGUAUAUUUAUUGAAAAUAGCGGAAGAAUAGGAUUACAAUUUACAUUACCAGACAAUAUACGAAAUACGAACGACGCGUCAUAAAAUAUUCUACGAAAAGAUAGUAAGGAUAGUCCUAAAUAACUUAAAAUGUUUAUAUAAUUAUUUUUGUCAUAAAAUAUGUUAAAUUUGUAACAUACAAUUUUAACAAAUUUUUUCUAAACAUUUUCAAUUCGAUUAAUAUGAACAUUAUAACAAGGUUGCCAAAUAAUUGUGCAGUAUUCCAAAAUUGGACGAACAUAACAAUUAUAUAAUAACAUUACAACACGCAAACUUGAAAAAUCAGAGCACUGUCUUUUUAUAAAUCCUAAUGUUUUGUUUGCUUUCGACAAAAUGUGGUUAACGUGAUAGUCAAAACUUAACUGGCUGUCUACAAUAACUCCUAAAUCGCGAAUAUGAGUGACACAUUCAAGUUGAUUGCCUGAUAUAAAGUAAGAUGGUAAAUUGUAAUAUAAUUUUCUAGAAAAUCUUAGUGAUUUACAUUUAUUUGUGUUCAGUUCUAAAAAAUUUUUUUACACCACAUACAAAAACUAUUUAAAUCACGUUGUAAUAUAUCACAGUCGUUUGGAUUUAUAAUAACUUUAAAAAUCUUUACAUCGUCGGCAAAAAGAAGGAUUUCAGAGCUUUCGAUCGCUGUUUUGACAUCAUUUAUAUAUAGAGAAAAAAGAAUAGGGCCUAGAUGUGACCCCUGAGGCACACCUGUGGAUGGGUGAAUUGCGCGAGACUUAACACCAUUUAUAGUUACAUACUGUACACGAUUAGAUAAAAAAGAAUAAAUCCAACUAAGGACUGGAUCCCCAAAACCUAAAUUAUCUAAUUUUGAUAUUAAUAACUCAAUGGAAAUGCGAUCAAAAGCUUUUGACAUAUCAGUAUAUAUACAAUCAAUUUGGAAUCCAUUUUCAAGAUUUGACGUUAUAUAUUCAGUAAACAGAAAAAGAUUGGUCAUCGUAGAGCGACCCUUGAAAAAACCAUGUUGUUCUUCAAUAACAGAUUGUUUUACAGAAAAUGAUAUAAUGUCAGCCAUAAUGGAGUCAAAAACCUUUGAUAUAUACGAUGGGGUACAUAUCGGUCUAUAGUUGGAAAUAUUUACUUGACUACCAUUUUUAAAGACAGGUCUGAUGUAUGAGAUUUUCCAAAUAUCCGGAAAUUGAGACUGAUCAAGAGAUUUAUUGAACAGCAUUUGUAAUGGCAAUGUUAAUUCAUAAGCACAAUUUAUAAAAGAUGCACAUUUGAAACAAAGACAUUAUCAGGCACUUUUUUACAGAGAAUUUAAUAAUGUUAUCAGCGAUUUUUUUAACCUUUCGUUUAGCUGUAAUAACAUAAAAGUAUAUUUUUUUUAAAUAAUAAUCUUAGUCGGCUGUGAUAUUUUUGAAAAGCUUAUUUUUUUCUGAUUUGAUAUGUCUUUCUGUAAUACAUUCUUUUUAAAUAUUUAAAAACAUAUAAUAUUUUUUUCUUUAUAGUAGGCCAUGAAAACAUUUUGGAUUUCCGAUUAAAACUAUGUAUUAUGUUUUUCUCUAAACCUUUUAGUUUUGGAGAUCUUCUAUUCGGACAUCUCAUGUGCAGCACCCUAUAGAAGGUAUUAAAAUCUGGUAAUUUCCUACUACAGGAAAAAUAACGUAAUUUUUAUUGCAAUAAAUUUAAUUACAAAACAAAUCAAUAACACGAACACGUUUCGUCAAAAACUUAUAAUUAUUAUCUAUUACACAAAAAGCUAUAAAAAAGUUAAUUACUGAAUGGAAAUACAUAUUAGCAACUCUGCAUUAUCAAUAUUUUUUCAUUCACCUAACAUUUUUACGAGUAUUUUCCGUAGAUUUUUAUUUUCAGAUUUUUUUGUAUAGUUUGUCACUAACUAAAUCUUCCACAACUCCUGGAGUACAUUUUACAAAAAUUUACACUUUAUUCACGAGUUUAAUUAAUGUAAUAUAUAAAUUAUCAAUAUAAAAUAUAAAUAAAAUAAUAAUUUAAUAUAGAAUUAAAUUAUGCAUAUUUCUAAAAAUUAAAAGUUCAAAAUUGAAAAAACUAUAGAAAUGGAAAAGAGAUUCACUAGUAAAUUGAAGCAUUAGAUUCUGAAUAAAAAACCAAUUCACUAAGAGACUGAAAAGAUAAAAAAUUAACUGGAAAAAAUAUUUUUUUUUAAAUUAGGAAAGGUAAACACAACUGUGGGGUGAGGCUACAGUUCAAUUUAGGAAUUUGGGAAAAAUAAAAUGGGAAAAAAAUUCGAGUUUUAAUAAAAACUCUUAAAAAUCGCGCGUUAGCAAAGUUUUCUAAAAUUUGGUCUCUAAUUAUCGAUGGUGGAGGUGGUGAGUUUUUUGGAUUGUUUGGG
Molecule: long non-coding RNA, 2773 nt
Organism: Tribolium castaneum (red flour beetle)
Lineage: Eukaryota; Metazoa; Arthropoda; Insecta; Coleoptera; Tenebrionidae
Exons: 2
Source: RefSeq, a predicted model, not a curated record